RNAcentral lists this ribosomal RNA (1346 nucleotides) under metagenome. Its description in RNAcentral is "bacterial LSU rRNA". It matches the Rfam family "Bacterial large subunit ribosomal RNA", at positions 1564 to 2925 of the family's 2925-position model. The record is from RNAcentral.
UGAGUACGAGCUGCUACGGCAGCGAAGUGGGUGAUGUCAAGCUUCCAAGAAAAGCCCUAUACCCGUUAAGGCAUGACGGCCUGUACCCGAAACCGACACAGGUGGGGUGGUAGAGAAUACCGAGGGGCGCGAGAUAACUCUCUCUAAGGAACUCGGCAAAAUGGCCCCGUAACUUCGGGAGAAGGGGUGCCACCGCAAGGUGGUCGCAGUGAAGAGGCCCAGGCGACUGUUUACCAAAAACACAGGUCUCCGCUAAGUCGCAAGACGAUGUAUGGGGGCUGACGCCUGCCCAGUGCCGGAAGGUUAAGGAAGCUGGUCAGCGCAAGCGAAGCUGGCGACUGAAGCCCCGGUGAACGGCGGCCGUAACUAUAACGGUCCUAAGGUAGCGAAAUUCCUUGUCGGGUAAGUUCCGACCCGCACGAAAGGCGUAACGAUCUGGGCGCUGUCUCGGAGAGAGGCUCGGCGAAAUAGAAUUGUCUGUGAUAUGCGGACUACGUGCACCCGGACAGAAAGACCCUAUGAAGCUUUACUGUAGCUUGGUAUUGUGCCCGGGCUCUGAAUGCGCAGGAUAGGUGGGAGGCUUUGAUCCAUUGCUUGCGGGUGAUGGUGAGCCAACGGUGAGAUACCACUCUUUCAGAGCUAGGGUUCUAACGGUCACCCGUUAUCCGGGGACCGGACAGUAUCAGGUGGGCAGUUUGACUGGGCGGUCGCCUCCUAAAAGGUAACGGAGGCGCGCAAAGGUUCCCUCAGGCUGGUUGGAAAUCAGCCGACGAGUGUAAAGGCAGAAGGGAGCUUGACUGUGAGACCUACAAGUCGAACAGGGACGAAAGUCGGCCUUAGUGAUCCGACGGUUCUGAGUGGAAGGGCCGUCGCUCAACGGAUAAAAGUUACUCUAGGAUAACAGGCUGAUCUCCCCCAAGAGUUCACAUCGACGGGGAGGUUUGGCACCUCGAUGUCGGCUCAUCCAACCUGGGGCUGAAGUCGGUCCCAAGGGUUGGGCUGUUCGCCCAUUAAAGCGGUACGCGAGCUGGGUUCAGAACGUCGUGAGACAGUUCGGUCCAUAUCCGGUGCAUGCGCAGGAACAUUGAGAGGAUUUCUCCCUAGUACGAGAGGACCGGGAGGAACGCACCUCUGGUGUACCAGUUAUCGUGCCAACGGUAAACGCUGGGUAGCCAUGUGCGGAGCGGAUAACCGCUGAAAGCAUCUAAGUGGGAAGCCCACCUCAAGAUGAGUGUUCCCAUGGCAUAAGCCAGUAAGGUCACGGGAAGAACACCCGUUGAUAGGCUCUACGUGGAAGCGUGGCAACACGUGAAGCGGAGGAGUACUAAUAGACCGAGGGCUUGACC